CAAGCGGAUCUCUUAAAGCNGUUCUCAGUUCGGACUGCAGUCUGCAACUCGACUGCACGAAGCUGGAAUCGCUAGUAAUCGCGGAUCAGCACGCCGCGGUGAAUACGUUCCCGGACCUUGUACACACCGCCCGUCACACCAUGGAAGUCUGCAAUGCCCGAAGCCGGUGGCCUAACCACUUAUGUGGAAGGAGCCGUCUAAGGCAGGGCAGAUGACUGGGGUGAAGUCGUAACAAGGUAUC
RNAcentral lists this ribosomal RNA (241 nucleotides) under uncultured bacterium. Its description in RNAcentral is "partial 16S ribosomal RNA". It matches the Rfam family "Bacterial small subunit ribosomal RNA", at positions 1264 to 1500 of the family's 1533-position model. The record is from RNAcentral.